CACCCGGGACGGCAAGCGUCUGAAAGGGGGGCGCGGCUGGAGAUUGGAACAGGGCCGGCCAUGCACACCCCGGGGAAGCGCGGGGCCGGAUGUCGGGGGACAUCCGGCCCCUUUUUU
Molecule: antisense RNA, 117 nt
Filed under: Luteimonas sp. FCS-9
Lineage: Bacteria; Pseudomonadati; Pseudomonadota; Gammaproteobacteria; Lysobacterales; Lysobacteraceae
Description: Xanthomonadaceae sRNA asX1
Rfam family: Xanthomonadaceae sRNA asX1
Source: Rfam by way of RNAcentral